GACGAACGCUGGCGGCGUGCUUAACACAUGCAAGUCGAACGGAAAGGCCCUGCUUGCAGGGUGCUCGAGUGGCGAACGGGUGAGUAACACAUGGGUGAUCUGCCCCUUUCUUUGGGUUAAGCCUGGUAAACUGGGUCUAAUACUGGAUAGGACAUUUCUGUAGGUGGUGUGGUGGAAAGAUUAGUUUCGGUAAGGGGUGAGCUCGCGGCCGAUCCGCUUUUUGUUGGGUUAAUGGCCUACCAAGGCGUCGGAGGGUAGCCGGCCAGAAGGGGUGGUCGGCAACGUUGAGACUGAGAUACGGCGCAGACGCCGACGGGAUGCAGCAGUGGGGAAUAGUGCACAAUAGGCGCAAGCCGGAUGCAGCGACGGCGCGUGGGUGAUGACGGCCUGCGGGUUGUGAACAACUUACAGCCAUGACGAAGCCCUUGUGGUGACGGUAGUGGAAGAAGAAGCACCGGCUAACUACGUG
Molecule: ribosomal RNA, 469 nt
Filed under: uncultured bacterium
Lineage: Bacteria
Description: partial 16S ribosomal RNA
Rfam family: Bacterial small subunit ribosomal RNA
Source: RNAcentral